This 471-nucleotide ribosomal RNA is filed under the name uncultured Alphaproteobacteria bacterium. RNAcentral's name for it is "bacterial SSU rRNA". It matches the Rfam family "Bacterial small subunit ribosomal RNA", at positions 8 to 525 of the family's 1533-position model. The record is from RNAcentral. Lineage: Bacteria; Pseudomonadati; Pseudomonadota; Alphaproteobacteria.
AGAGUUUGAUCCUGGCUCAGGACGAACGCUGGCGGCAGGCUUAACACAUGCAAGUCGAGCGCCCACUUCGGUGGGAGCGGCAGACGGGUGAGUAACACGUGGGAAUCUACCUAUCUCUACGGAACAACACAUAGAAAUGUGUGCUAAUACCGUAUACGCCCUUCGGGGGAAAGAUUUAUCGGAGAUAGAUGAACCCGCGCUUGAUUAGCUAGUUGGUGAGGUAAUGGCUCACCAAGGCGACGAUCAAUAGCUGGUCUGAGAGGAUGAUCAGCCACACUGGGACUGAGACACGGCCCAGACUCCUACGGGAGGCAGCAGUGGGGAAUAUUGGACAAUGGGCGCAAGCCUGAUCCAGCCAUGCCGCGUGAGUGAUGAAGGCCCUAGGGUUGUAAAGCUCUUUCAACGGUGAAGAUAAUGACGGUAACCGUAGAAGAAGCCCCGGCUAACUUCGUGCCAGCAGCCGCGGUAAUA